Molecule: ribosomal RNA, 446 nt
Filed under: Scolopendra dehaani
Lineage: Eukaryota; Metazoa; Arthropoda; Chilopoda; Scolopendromorpha; Scolopendridae
Description: partial 16S ribosomal RNA
Rfam family: Bacterial large subunit ribosomal RNA
Source: RNAcentral
CGUCUUAUGGAUGUAAAUGUAAGAUUUGACCUGCUCUAUGUAUAAUAAAUGGCCGCGGUAUAUUGACCGUGCGAAGGUAGCAUAAUAAUUAGGCUAUUAAUUGUGGUCUUGAAUGAAAGGUUGGACGAGGGAAAUACUUUCUUAUUUGCAUUGUUGAAUUUAAAUAAUUAGUAAAAAUGCUAAUAUAAUGUAAAAAGACGAGAAGACCCUGUUGAGUUUUAUAUUUAAUAUAUUUAUUAUAUUUGAUUGGGGCGAUGAUAAAUAAACAAUUUAUGUAAUUGAUCCGCUAUUAGUGAUUAGUAGAAUAAAUUACCACAGGGAUAACAGCAUAAUUUGAUUGGAGAGUUCUUAUUGAUAUUCAAGUUUGUGACCUCGAUGUUGGAUUAAGAUUCCUUCUAGGUGCAGGUGCUUAAGUAGGUGGACUGUUCGUCAAUUAUAUUCUUACA